This 253-nucleotide ribosomal RNA is filed under the name uncultured bacterium. RNAcentral's name for it is "partial 16S ribosomal RNA". It matches the Rfam family "Bacterial small subunit ribosomal RNA", at positions 524 to 776 of the family's 1533-position model. The record is from RNAcentral.
UACGGAGGGUCCAAGCGUUAUCCGGAAUCAUUGGGCUUAAAGGGUGCGCAGGCGGUCAAGUAAGUCAGUGGUGAAAUCUCUCGGCUCAACCGAGAAACUGCCAUUGAUACUGCUAUACUUGAAUAUAGUCGAAGUGGGCGGAAUGUGACAUGUAGCGGUGAAAUGCUUAGAUAUGUCACAGAACACCGAUAGCGAAGGCAGCUCACUAGACUAACAUUGACGCUCAUGCACGAAAGCGUGGGGAGCGAACAGG